CUUACCUGCGAGGUUAAUGAAACGACGAUUAGCAGGUUAGUUCAAUUCUUCUGCUUGGUGGGAACUGAAUGAACUAUCAACUGGGCUGGUCUAUGGAAACCCUGUCAGUUGGGGUUCCAGAUGGCGAGACUUAAAAAAUUGACUAUAUACGUAGAAGCCUAUGCUGAAAUGUCUAGGGACGCGGGUUCAAUUCCCGCCGCCUCCACCA
Molecule: transfer-messenger RNA, 208 nt
Filed under: Candidatus Brocadiales bacterium
Lineage: Bacteria; Pseudomonadati; Planctomycetota; Candidatus Brocadiia; Candidatus Brocadiales
Description: partial transfer-messenger RNA
Rfam family: transfer-messenger RNA
About the family: Bacterial tmRNA, also known as 10Sa RNA or SsrA, is named for its dual tRNA and mRNA-like properties. Its role is to liberate the mRNA from a stalled ribosome. To accomplish this part of the tmRNA is used as a reading frame that ends in a translation stop signal.
Source: RNAcentral